AUUGAACGCUGGCGGCGUGCCUAAUACAUGCAAGUCGAACGAGGUACUUUUGUAGUAAUACGAGAGUGUCCUAGUGGCGAACGGGUGAGUAACGCGUUGGUGACCUACCCAAAGUGUGGGAUAACAGUUCGAAAGGAUUGCUAAUACCGCAUGUGGUCUUCGGAUUUAGAAACUGAUGACUAAAGGAGUAAUCCGCUUUGGGAGGGACCUGCGUCCCAUCAGCUAGUUGGUGAGGUAAUGGCUCACCAAGGCUACGACGGGUAGGGGACCUGAGAGGGUGACCCCCCACAAUGGAACUGAAACACGGUCCAUACACCUACGGGUGGCGGCAGUAGGGAAUAUUGCACAAUGGGCGAAAGCCUGAUGCAGCAACGCCGCGUGUGCGAUGAAGGCCUUCGGGUCGUAAAGACACUUUUCUGAGGGAUGAGCAAGGACAGUACCUCAGGAAUAAGUCUCGGCUAACUACGUGCCAGCAGCCGCGUAAU
Molecule: ribosomal RNA, 485 nt
Filed under: uncultured bacterium
Lineage: Bacteria
Description: bacterial SSU rRNA
Rfam family: Bacterial small subunit ribosomal RNA
Source: RNAcentral